This 160-nucleotide ribosomal RNA is filed under the name Pleuricospora fimbriolata. Its description in RNAcentral is "5.8S ribosomal RNA". It matches the Rfam family "5.8S ribosomal RNA". Rfam says of the family: 5.8S ribosomal RNA (5.8S rRNA) is a component of the large subunit of the eukaryotic ribosome. It is transcribed by RNA polymerase I as part of the 45S precursor that also contains 18S and 28S rRNA. Functionally, it is thought that 5.8S rRNA may be involved in ribosome translocation. Lineage: Eukaryota; Viridiplantae; Streptophyta; Magnoliopsida; Ericales; Ericaceae. The record is from RNAcentral.
AAAUGACUCUCGACAACGGAUAUCUUGGCUCUUGCAUCGAUGAAGAACGUAGCGAAAUGCGAUACUUGGUGUGAAUUGCAGAAUCCCGUGAACCAUCGAGUCUUUGAACGCAAGUUGCGCCUGAAACCAUUAGGUUGAAGGCACGUCUGCCUGGGCGUCA